GGACGCGUAGCUCAAUUGGAUAGAGCAUCAGAUUACGGCUCUGAAGGUUAGGGGUUCGACUCCCUUCGCGUUCACCA
RNAcentral lists this transfer RNA (77 nucleotides) under Escherichia coli. RNAcentral describes it as "tRNA-Arg". It matches the Rfam family "tRNA". Rfam says of the family: Transfer RNA (tRNA) molecules are approximately 80 nucleotides in length. The record is from RNAcentral. RNAcentral also lists the same sequence under 7 other names. Lineage: Bacteria; Pseudomonadati; Pseudomonadota; Gammaproteobacteria; Enterobacterales; Enterobacteriaceae.